AACGUAGGAGGCGAGCGUUGUCCGGAAUUACUGGGCGUAAAGGGCGUGUAGGCGGUCGGUCAAGUUAGCUGUGAAAUCUCCUGGCUCAACUGGGAGGGGGCGGUUAAUACUGGCUGGCUAGAGUGCAGCAGAGGGAAGUGGAAUUCCCGGUGUAGUGGUGAUAUGCGUAGAUAUCGGGAGGAACACCAGUGGCGAAGGCGGCUUCCUGGGCUGCAACUGACGCUGAGGCGCGAAAGCGUGGGGAGCGAACCGGAUUAGAUACCCGCGUA
RNAcentral lists this ribosomal RNA (269 nucleotides) under uncultured prokaryote. RNAcentral's name for it is "partial 16S ribosomal RNA". It matches the Rfam family "Bacterial small subunit ribosomal RNA", at positions 524 to 792 of the family's 1533-position model. The record is from RNAcentral.